This 512-nucleotide ribosomal RNA is filed under the name uncultured bacterium. RNAcentral's name for it is "partial 16S ribosomal RNA". It matches the Rfam family "Bacterial small subunit ribosomal RNA", at positions 29 to 507 of the family's 1533-position model. The record is from RNAcentral.
AAUGAACGCUGGCGGCGUGCCUAAUACAUGCAAGUCGAACGAAACUUCUUUAUCACCGAGUGCUUGCCCUCACCGAUACAGGGUUGAGUGGCGACCGGGUGAGUACCACGUGGGCAACCUGCCCAACAGAGGGGGAUCACACUUGGAAACAGGUGCUAAUACCGCAUAACCAUCGUUACCGCACUGUACCUAUGUAAAAGGUGGCUGUACUACCGCUUUUGUAUGGGCGCGUGGCGCAUUAGCUAGUUGGUAGGGUAAAGGCUUACCAAGGCAAUGAUGCGUAGCCGAAUUGAGAGGUUGAUCGGCCACACUGGGACUGAGACACGGCCCAGACUCCUACGGGAGGCAGCAGUAGGGAAUUUUCGACAAUGGGCGAAAGCCUGAUGGAGCAACGCCGCGUGUGUGAAGAAGGUCUUCGGAUCGUAAAACCCUGUUGUCAGAGAAGAAAGUGCGUGAGAGUAACUGGUCACGUGUCGACGGUACCGAACCAGAAAGCCCCGGCUAACUACGUG